GUUGAACGCUGGCGGCAGGCUUAACACAUGCAAGUCGAGCGGAGAUGAGGUGCUUGCACCUUAUCUUAGCGGCGGACGGGUGAGUAAUGCUUAGGAAUCUGCCUAUUAGUGGGGGACAACAUUCCGAAAGGAAUGCUAAUACCGCAUACGUCCUACGGGAGAAAGCAGGGGAUCUUCGGACCUUGCGCUAAUCGAUGAUCCUAAGUCGGAUUAGCUAGUUGGUGGGGUAAGGGCCUACCAAGGCGACGAUCUGUAACGGGUCUGAGAGGAUGAUCCGCCACACUGGGACUGAGACACGGCCCAGACUCCUACGGGAGGCAGCAGUGGGGAAUAUUGGACAAUGGGGGAAACCCUGAUCCAGCCAUGCCGCGUGUGUGAAGAAGGCCUUAUGGUUGUAAAGCACUUUAAGCGAGGAGGAGGCUACUGAGACUAAUACUCUUGGAUAGUGGACGUUACUCGCAGAAUAAGCACCGGCUAACUCUGUGCCAGCAGCCGCCGUAA
RNAcentral lists this ribosomal RNA (501 nucleotides) under uncultured bacterium. RNAcentral's name for it is "partial 16S ribosomal RNA". It matches the Rfam family "Bacterial small subunit ribosomal RNA", at positions 28 to 523 of the family's 1533-position model. The record is from RNAcentral.